This is a non-coding RNA of Trichophaea hybrida, 101 nucleotides long. NCBI's taxonomy places the organism in Eukaryota, Fungi, Ascomycota, Pezizomycetes, Pezizales, Pyronemataceae. The record is from the annotation of a GenBank genome assembly.
GGCAGGAUGGCCGAGUUGGUUAUGGCGCCAGGUUAAGGUUACCUUAAUAGGAAAUUCCUGGUUCGGGAAACUGAGCGUGGGUUCAAGUCCCACUCCUGUCA